Non-coding RNA from Paramuricea clavata, 1675 nucleotides. Lineage: Eukaryota; Metazoa; Cnidaria; Anthozoa; Malacalcyonacea; Plexauridae. The record is from the annotation of a GenBank genome assembly.
CUGCCAUGUUCAUUACUCGGAAGAGGACCAUGACCCUGUUUCCAAAUCAAUCCGGUCUCAUACCACCCUUCAUCACUUCGGCUAAGCUGUUCCUUGAACUCAUCAUACACCGACUGCUGGUCACCUUGCGCUCGAUCUUCUAAACCCAGAACAUCCAAAUUACACAACUGUUCGUAGUCUCCAAAUGAUGUUCUGGUAAGGUACAGUAAGUAUAAACCACUAACCAAAGGUCCAAGACGCAUGUAGAGGUUCUAUUACCUAUCCCAAAAUUAAAAUACUAAACUUUAAAGUUAAUAUUAUUACUCCAUUCAGGUUUGCUGGGUUUUCUUUCAUUUCGCAGAUCUACAAGAAGUCGUUUCAUGAAAACAUGGAAUCAUGUUCAGGAAUUAAUUUGGUGCAGUUCAUGUGAUUCGCUGUUUACGUUGGCGUGAAUUUGAGGAUCGAUCGAUAAGCGUCUUAGCACACCAUUCAGUUGGAUGUUUUCGUGAAACCGAUCCUGCAGACUGUAGAGCUCCAUUAUCCCAUGUGACCUAUCGCUAACAGAAGUGUGGGCUGAAGUAUACUUCCAUUCUAAGUACUUCUGGAGUUUACCAUCUUUUGCCAACGAUGUUGUUGCGCGGAAUGGAACCACUGUUCAUUAUUUGGAUUAAAAAACUGGGUUCAAUGUGGUUCACAAAAGUCGCCAAACGAGUUGGAAUGUCAGAAAUGUUUACUGUUGGUGGAUGUCGUAACGAUCUUAGUAAAUCCUGAGGACCCUCGCUCUAACAACAAAGAUAAUUGUAUAAAAUAAUGUUAUGUGGACAGGCACCGGAUGCCCAAUCACCUAAAAAACAGCAUCAGCAAAUCGUCAUUUUCAUAAUUUCACUAACUAAUUUCUCCAAAAUACUACAAAGAGUGAUUAAGGAAUACAUGCUUGAUCUCAUCGAGAUAUGGAGACCACGCAAUAAUAAGGCAUGCAUACAAACAUUUGUCAUUUUCUCAGUGUAUGUAGUUUGUUUAAUUAUUAUUAAAGAAAGAAAAAUACUUUAAAAUAAAGUAGGUUAAGUGGGUUAUUGAAUUGCACACUGAUUAACAUCGAGUUUAUAUUCACGAAAAGUUCCCCAGAUCUUUGUGAAUAAUUAUAUAUAAUGUUCUGGUACGGUGAGUUUUUUUCCUUAGGAACCCCACUGAUUGGUGUUUGGUUAGACGAGAGCCUUGUUUAAACCCCACUGAACCACGCAGUUUCUCCAGUUUAUACGUUUACCUAUAACCCACUCACCUCGGCGGCUCGUAACCACUUUUUGUAUGUUAUCAUUUUAAAAAUAUAUACGAUAUUAUUGUUCUUAUUUUUUGUCAAGAUCUGAAUUGGCGACUAAUUAAUCCGUAUUUUACGCCGGCUUCCGUGGGAAGGAGGCUGAUUAGUGCUCUUUCCGAUUCGUUAAAUUUACCAUAUUUUUGGAUGACAUUUGAGUAAUAUCGACACAGGACUAGUGUAUAAAUAAAAAAAAUACGAAGUUUUUCCUUGUGAAUUACUCGCGACCUGCUACCUGAGGUGGCAUCAAUAUAUUGUACUAUUAUAUUAGUAGGACACAUUGAAAAUGAACCCCAUUUUACACGUGAAGUAAGAGCUCCACCAUUAAAUUUGCAUUGAGAAGAAAUUAUCCAAAAUUCUUAAAAUUGUAAGGUAAAUGUGCUC